Cynocephalus volans (Philippine flying lemur) is the source of this 124-nucleotide non-coding RNA. RefSeq annotates it as small Cajal body-specific RNA 23. The record is from RefSeq and is a predicted model, not a curated record. NCBI's taxonomy places the organism in Eukaryota, Metazoa, Chordata, Mammalia, Dermoptera, Cynocephalidae. The transcript has a single exon.
AUGCUCGCCGGGGCUUGGUCCCUCCAUGUGGUCCUGGCCUGCCCUCCAUGAGCGAGAGAAACAGGACUGGUUUGGGGGUGUCCUGUCCAAGUUGACAUGGGACACCAUGGUUUUCAGUACAACA